AUAAAAGCGUAAACAUGGAUUGCGAUUAAUGCAAAACAAAGCAAGAAGCACUUUUCCCUGGGUUUCUUCUAUCUCUCUCUCUCCCCCUCUCUCUUGAUUCGCCUCGAUUGAAAAGGGCAAGGAACGCUGUCUGUUCCCUCUCCUUUGCUUUUAAAAAUUUUCCUUCGUCAGUUUCCUCUUAGUCUCUCUCUUGCGAUUGUCGAUCGUCUUUGGUUAAUGAAAACCAGUCAUCUCCUUUUUUUUUUAUGUUUACUUUUUCGAUCGCAGCAGCAAUGGAGAUGAGGGUUUCGCUGAAUCUGCAAUGGAGUUUGAGGUUCGGGUUUCCGCCAUCCGAUCGAAUCCGCAAUGGAGGUGAGAGUCGAGUCAUCUAAUCGAUGCAGCAAAUCAAGGCGAGGCUCAACUGAAUCGGUUUGGUCAGUAGAACGAUUUGGAUUCGCUAUGGCUCUACUUGCGGCAAGAUCUGUUGUGCACACUAUGUCGCACGCAUCCCUUGGCGAGAGAGAGCAGGCAAGACGCACGAUCAGAAGGUCGAGCGGGGAGAAACUAGAAAGGCAAAACCCAAGCCAAACGAGAAGAGAGAAUGGAGAACCCUAGCUCAGAGUGAGCCUGAAGAGCUGGUGAUGGCUUUCUCACUACCGACGUCGAUGAUGUUGAGAGUGCAUAGGAUGGAGCGUGGAAACAUCGCAAUCAGAAUCAUCUUUUGGUUUGCCAAGGACGAGCUCAACCUCUCCAAGGCCAAGACCAGGUACAGUUCUACAAAGAGGGUGAAGGCUCAAAUAUGGGAUGUCGCUGGCUGUGAGAGUUGUCAGAUGGAUCUGCAUAGCGAUGUUCAUAAUAUGAUACAGGUUCUUCUAUCAAAUCCUAGAGUUACUCACUCUUUCUUUCUGUGUGUGGGGAUAAUGGUGAUUUCAAUUGUCGUAUGUAUCUUAGCCAUCUAUCUCUCUGUCUUUGAACAUGUAAUUUCAAACGUCGAGAUAUAAUAUCUUUACGGAUGUUCCGCUAGAGAUCAGUAUUCAAAAUGGUUGCUCUCAUCUUUGAGAUGAGAGCCAAAGGGGAUUGGAAUUCCUGUA
This is a long non-coding RNA of Nymphaea colorata (pocket water lily), 1070 nucleotides long. RefSeq lists it as uncharacterized. The transcript has 2 exons. The record is from RefSeq and is a predicted model, not a curated record. Lineage: Eukaryota; Viridiplantae; Streptophyta; Magnoliopsida; Nymphaeales; Nymphaeaceae.